CUUACACUUUUGGCAAUGCGUUUGCAUGCAUACGGCCGAUACGCACAGGUCCAAGAAUGGGGGGUCGUCAUGUAAUUUACACCCGAAUACCAACCCCGCAAAAUCGAACUCUAAUUAAGCUUGAACUUGUAUGACGUCGCUGCUGGUGCGGGGAAGUUAAUGGAGGAAGUAGUAGGAUAGCCGUGGCAAAAACAAAAAAAAAAAACACUAGAAUUAGAAAAAACUGAUCUACGGGCUUUCUUAACUAAUCACACUCUGAUAGGAUCGCUAUCGCUCCAAGCACGGUCCAAGUUAAGUUUGUUUUGUAUGGACG
Molecule: small RNA, 313 nt
Filed under: Histoplasma capsulatum var. duboisii H88
Lineage: Eukaryota; Fungi; Ascomycota; Eurotiomycetes; Onygenales; Ajellomycetaceae
Description: Histoplasma capsulatum H88 hypothetical RNA
Source: RNAcentral